Molecule: long non-coding RNA, 5413 nt
Organism: Neofelis nebulosa (Clouded leopard)
Lineage: Eukaryota; Metazoa; Chordata; Mammalia; Carnivora; Felidae
Exons: 3
Source: RefSeq, a predicted model, not a curated record
AUCACUUAUAGGCUACGAGCGGGUCGUCUGGCUCCUUGCUGCUAUUGGCUGCUGACUUGGCGCAGGCGCUAUGGCCCCUGCGUUGGCGUUCGCGGUUGCAGAGGCAGGGCUUUGGCUACGGAAGACCAUAGGACCCACUCACUGUUCACAGCAGCACUGAGAAAAAUUCUUCACUGGGGCUCCUGACAGCUAUAUUUCAGGCUACCUGUAGGUCCGAGUUCUGCAGAGAAGGUUCAAGUGGAAGCCAGCCAUCCUGUCGUGAGGACACUCAAGCAGCUGCAUGGAGAGAUCUACUUACCAGAGAACUGAGGUCCCCCAGCCCAAAGCCAUCACCAAAUUGCCAGCAAUGUGAGUGAUCCAGCUUGGAAGCAGCGCUUCCGGCCCCACUCAAGCCUUCCAAUGACUGCAGCCUGAGAGACCCAAAACCAGAGCCAUGCAGCUAAGCUGCUCCUGAAUUCCCAGCUCCCCCAAACUGUGUGAGAUGAUUAAUUAGUGUUUGCUGUUGUUUCAAGCUGCUAAGUUCUGGGUUCAUUUGUGGUGUUUCUGAGCUCUCUGAGGGUCUCUGUCUAGGGUUUGAGAUUUCUGAGCUUUUUGUGGCCUAUAUCCAUAUCUGGGUGUUGGGGACACUCCAUGUUGCACAUUUUUAGGUCUCUGAUCUCUUUAGGGUCUCUCUCUGGGUUUUUAGGCCUCUGAACUAUUUGGGGAUCUGUGUCUGAAAACAUGGGGAUUCUGGGCUGUUUCUGGUUAAUGUCCAGGACGUGAUCAUAACUGUUUGGGAUCCUUUAAUCCCAGGAUAUGAUGUCUCUAAGAUAACUUUGUACUUGAGUCCAGAACUUGAAGUCUCUGAGCUCCUUUGCAGUCUGUGUUCUGGGUGUGAGAUCUUUGAGGUAUUUGGGAGUCUGUGUCUCUGGUUUCACAGCCGUGAACGCUUUGGAGGACUGUAUGUAGGUUUUGUUUGUUCUUUGAGGUGUAUGGAGUUUUAAGUCCCAGGAAGAGACAUCACCGAGGUGACUGGAAUCUGCAUCCAGGUGUUCAAACAGUUUGGGCCCCUGAGUCCCUGGAUAUGAAGUCCCUGCUGUGUUUGAGAGUCGAUGUCCAGAUAUUGAUAUUUCUGGUUUUGAGGGCAGGCGGAGCCUGUGUUUCAGGUUGUCAGCUCUCUGAACUAUUUCUGGGUGUGUGUCCCAAAUGUGUGGGGUCCUAGACAUGGCUGUAGCUCUGUGUUGUAGUAUAUGAGGUCUCUGUUCAUGGGUGUAUGUGGCAGCGUGUGAGGUAACUGAACUCCUUCAGUGUGUGUGCACAAGAUCAUAAGGUCUCUGAUCUGUUUGGGUGUGUGUUUCCCAGCAUGAGAAUUUUUUAUUUGUUUGCGGGUGUAUAUUCCAUGGUGUUAGUUCUCUAAUCUGUUCGGAUGUGUAUGUCCUGGGUGUGAGGUUUCUGCUAUGCUCGUGGGUGUAUGGUCUAAUGGUGUAAAGGUUUCUGAUCCACUUAGGGGUAUAUGUCCCAGGGUAUGAGGUCUCUGAUCUGUUUGUCAUUGUAUGUCUCAGGAUGUGAGGUCUCUCUUCUGGAUGCAUGUCAAGGGUAGGAGGUCUCUAAUCUGUCUUUAGUUUUAUGUCCCCGGAUGUUAGAUCUCUGGUCUCUGUGGGUAUAUGUGCCAACGGGUGAGCUCUCUGUCAUGUUUGUGGGUAUAUGUCCCAAUAGAUGAGGUCUCUGAGGUCUUUGUGGAUAUAUUUUCCUGGUCGGUAUGUUUCUGAGCUUUUUUGGUUAUGUUUUGGUUAUGUUCUCUCAGGGCACUCUGGUCCAUUUGUUGGGUGUAUGUUGCAGGCUGAUAAGGAUUGUCUGUCUGAGGGUGUAUGUCCCAGGGUGUGAGGGUCUCUGCUGUGUUUGUGGGUGUAUGUCUCUGAAUGUGAGAUAUCUAAAAUGUUUGUGAGUAUAGUUCUCAAGAUAUAAGUUCCCUGAACUCUUUGUGGGUGUGUGUCCCAGAAAAGGAAAUCUAUGAUCUAUUUGUGAGCAUAUGUUCCAGAACAUGAGGUCUCAGAGCUGUCUGUCCCUGUGUGUGUCCCAAUAUGUGAGGUCUCUCUUCGUGGGUGUAGAUCAAAGGUACGAGUUCUCUGGUCCUUUUGUGUUGGUACCUCCCAGGGAAUGAGGCCUCUGAGCUGUCCGGGGUGGGGGAAUUUCACAUAAUGUGAAUUCUCAAGUAUGGUUGUGGCUAUAUGACCUAGCAUAUAGGUCUCUGAUCUCUUUGGGUGUGUAUGUUCCGUAGUUUGAAGUCUCUGAGCUCUUUAUUGAUGUAUAUUCCAGGAUGUGAGGUCUCUGAUCUUCUUGUUAUAUACUGCUAGUACGCGAGUCUGCCUUCACUAGUAUAUGUCAAAGUCUAUUUGUGGGUGUAUUUCCCAGUGUAUGAGGUCCCUGAUCUGUUUCCAGGUGUUUGUUCCAGAGUAAGAAGCCUCUAAUAUGUCUCUGAUCUUUUCAUAAAUGUAUCAGGAGCUUGAGGUCCUUCAUCCCUGUGGUUGUAAUUCCCAGAGGCCUUGUCCGUGUUGUGUGUGUGGCUCUACGUCCAAGAAUGUUAUGUAUCUGUAUUGUUUCUGCAAGUAUGCCUCAGUUGUGAGGUCUCUGAUCUCUUUGUGGGUAUAUUCAUCAGAAUGGGAGAUCUCUGAUAUGUUUGUGGGUGUAUGUCCCAGAGUGUGAGGUCACUAAUGUUUGUGCAUGUAAACCCCAGGAUUUGAGGUCUGUGAUAUGCUUAUCACUAUAAUUAUCGAUGUGUGAAAUGUCUCUCAUGGGUGUAUGCCAAAGGCAUGAGCUCUCUGAUAUGUCUGUGUUUAUAUGAACGUGGGUGUAAGAUCUCUUAUUUGUUUAUGGGUGUAUGUCUCAGUGUGUGAGGUUUGUGAUGUGUUGGGGGGUUAUAUCCCAUGGUCUGUUCUGUUUGGGGGUUAUUUGCUGGGAUAUGACGUGUAUGUAUUUUUAUCACUGUAUAUCCCAGUAUGUGAGGUCUCUCAGAUGGGUGUAUAUAGAAAGUGUAAGGUCUUUGAUCUAUUUGUGGUUAUAUAUCCCUGGGUGUGAGGUCUCUGAUAAGUUUGUGGAUUUAAUUCUUUUUUUUUAAGUUUAAUUUUUUAAUUUUUUAACUUUUAAUUUUUAUUUUAUUUAUUUAUUUAUUGAGAGAGAGAGUGUAGGAGGGGCAGAAAGAGAGGGAGAGAGAGAGAAUCCCAAGCAGGCUCCUCACUGUCAGCUCAGAGCCCAAUGCUGGGCUCAAACUCACAAACCAUGAGAUCACGACCCGAACUGAAACCAAGAGUUGGCCGCUUAGCUGACUGAGCCACCCGGGCACCCCACAUGGAUUUAAUUCUUACACUUUGACAUUGCCUAUCUGUUUGCAAGUGUUAUGUCACAUGAUGCGAUAUCUCUGAUCUUUUUGAGGGUGUAGGACCCGCAGUGUGAAGUGUCUUUCUAUUCCUCGUGUAUUUCCAAACAUGUGAGGUGUCUCACCUGUGUGAGGGUGUGUAUCCCACGAUGUGAGGCCUCUUACUUAUUUGCAGGUAUAUUCCCAAGAUGUGAGCUCUUUUCCUCCCUUUUGAGCAUAUGUCCCAAUUUGCUUCGUUUCUGAGUAUAUUUCCCGCUCUGUGAUGUCUCAGCUGUUUGGGGUGUAUACUGCAGGAUUUGAGCUCUCUGGUGUAUCAUACAUGUAUGUCUCAGGUUCUGAGGUUGCUAAUGUCUUUGUGGGUGCGUAUCACAGAAUGGGAGUCUCUGAUCUGUUUGCGUUUGCCAAGGGUAUAAAGUCUUAUAUGGUUGUGCAUAUAUGUCUCAGGAUGUUAGGACCCUAGCUGUUUGUGGGUAUAUGUCCCAGGAUGUGAAGUGUCUGACCUGUUUGUGUGUGUUCGUCCAUGGGGGUGAGAUUUCUGAUCAGUUUUUCAGGCACAUUACAUCCCAGGAUGUAAUGUCUCUGAUCUCAUUAUGGGUCUAAUUCCCAGGAUUUAAGGUCUCUGAUCACAUAUGGAUAUAUGUCCCGGAAUGUGUUUCUUUACUUUUUACAAGUAUAUGUCCCAGGUCGUAGGUUCUCUGAUCUGCUAGGGGGUUCUUUGCCAAGAUCUGAGGUUUCUGAUCUGUUUAUGGGUAUGUGUCAUAGAAUGCGAAGUCUUGGCUCUUUUAUGGUGUGUUUUAUGUCCAGAGUGUCAGGUUUCUGACUUCUCUGUGGUUGUGUGUCAUGGUGUGAGGUCUCUUCUCUGUUCCUUCCUGUGUGAUUCAGUAUGUGCUCUCUGGUCGUGAAUUUUGACAAGGAUGUAAGUUCUCUGAUCUGCUUGUUGCGUAUUGCAGGAUAUGAAGUCUCUGAUCUGCUUGGUGGUGAGUAUCCCAGUGUGUGAGGUGUCUGAGCUCUGUGUGUGUGUGUGUGUGUGUGUGUGUCCCAGGUUGUGAGGUUUCUGGUCUGUUUAGGAGUGAAUGACAGCAGGUGCCAUAUGUGAACUCUUGAUGGGUAUAUGUUCCAGGCUUUGAGGACUGUGACAUGGUAGUCGGUAUAUGUGCUGGGCGCGAGUGGACGUGAGAACCAUAAUCUGUUUCUGGAUGUACCACUCAGCGUGUGAGGCCUCUGAAUUGUUUGUAGGUUUCUGUUGCAGGAUUUGAAGUCUGCGAUUUCUUUUUAUCUUUAAGUAAACUCUACGCCCAAUGUGGAGCUCAAACUCGUGACCCUGAAAUCGAGGGUCGCAUACUCUACUGACUGAGCUGGCCAGGUGCGCCUAGUCUAUGAUUUCUUUAUGACUAAACUUUCCAGGCUGUUAGGUCCCUGAUCUGUUUGUGGGUGUAUAUAUGAGGUGUGAGUUCCCUGACUGGUCUGUGGGUGUAUGUCCCAGGAUGUCACAUCUCUAUCAGUCUGUGCCAUGUACGUCAUGUCUGAAUACUCGCCUCCCCAAUGAUAUCCACGUCCCAAUCCCUGGAACCUGUGAUUAUGUUAACUUUUUGGCAAAAAGGACUUUGUAGGUAUAAUGAAGUGAACCACUCUGAGAUUGGGAUUUCAUCCUGGACUAUCCAGGUGGGCCUAACAUAAUGAUUAAAGUCCUUAUAUGUGGGAGGCAGGAUGGUAAGAGUUGGAAAUGGCAGUGUGACAGUGAUACAAGCUGAGUCAAAGAUGGUGACAUAAAGAUGGAAACAGACUCAGAGAAAGAGCUACGACAACUGAAUCAGAGGGAAGCGAAAUCGGAGAGAGAUCUGAAGAAUGAAACCCUGCUGGCUUUGAAGAUGGAGGAAAGGGCCAUGAGCCAGGGAAUGCAGCAGCCCCUAAAACCGGAAAAUGCCAGGAAAUGGAUUCUGUGUUGGAGCCUCCAGGAGGAAGGCAGGUCUGCUGACAACUUGAUUUUAUCUCUGUAAGACUCAUUUUCGGGUUUCUGACCCAUAGAAACGUAAGGUAAUAAAUGUGUGUUAUUUUACAACA